Molecule: long non-coding RNA, 1193 nt
Organism: Antechinus flavipes (yellow-footed antechinus)
Lineage: Eukaryota; Metazoa; Chordata; Mammalia; Dasyuromorphia; Dasyuridae
Exons: 3
Source: RefSeq, a predicted model, not a curated record
CUCUCAUUUGUCCAGUGAGAUGAAAAAUUUGAUCAGCGGAAGCCAAUCUGGGAAUGGUUCUAACAGGAUAAUGAUACUAGAUUACAUAAACCUGGAAUUUGAGUUUGGGAUUCACUUUAGAAUUAUUCCUAUCAACAAAAAAAUGAGUCCAUGAGAGGAAUAAGCAAAGUUUUGGUAAGGGUAUUUUCAUUAUUGAAUUUUUUUUUUUUUUAGCUUAUGUUUAAGAUUAAUCCAUUCCUGCUGAAGGAAGAGUUCAAAAAAAAAUAAUAAUAUGUCCUUCCUCAUUCUAUGUAUCUCUCAUUAUCACAACUUGAUUCCUAAAGACUCAUAAAACAGAUAGGUAGAGGGAUACAUAUAUGAAUAAAUGAUAGCAAAAAAUUAUUUUUUCCAGUUGUGGUGAUAAUAGUAUAUUUGAAAAAUAUUUUGAAUUUGUAGUCCCAGAAUUUAGCACAAUGUUUCACACAUAGCAAGUAUUUAAUCAAUGUUUGUUGACUAGUUGACUGAAGGAGUUUAUGUUUAGUAUUUAGAAAAAUUAAAGUCAGAAAUAGUCAGAAAUGAAGUAAGAAAUACUUCUAGAUCUGCUCAGAUACUAAAUAUUCAAGUCAUCAGAGCUGGCAAGUGUCCUGGGGAGUCUGGGCAUAAGCUCCUAUGUUUCAAGCAUGAAUAAGCAAAAUAAUUCAAAAUUUACUGCCAGUAGCAGACAGUUUCAUACUACUACUUGUCAGUGAAGCAGAAUGUUCUUGAGGAGGCACAUGAUUCUAAGAAGAGAUCUAAGAGGAAUUCUACUUCUAUCAAUUUUUGUUGAUUUGACUUGUUGAAUCUUUCAGAUGAAGAAACUGAGAUCCAAGGACCUCAAAUCACAUUUGCUCAAAGCCAUAUAGAGGCAGGAUUUGAAUUAAGAAGCAGCAAUUGAAGAGGCAAAAGUUGUGACACAGCUAUCAAAUAUCUAAGGCAGAAUAUGGACUCAAGUUACCUUAACUCCAGGGAUAAUACUCUAUCCACCAUAUUGACUAGCUGCUGAAUGCUACAUAGUAGCAUCUCAUUUUUUUUUAAAUCUAAUUUGGUUGUAAAUGUUUCUGGGACAAAUCAUUCUUGUUUUUUAAAAACAAAUAAAUGAAUACUUAAUAUUCUAUUGACCAUUGCACAGGCAGAUAAAAUGAAUUUUGUGGUUAAAUUAAAUUGUUAACAUGUAA